AGAUAAUAGAUACCCUGGUAGUCCCAGCUGUAAACGAUGCAGACUCGGUGAUGAGUUGGCUACAUGCCAUCUCAGUGCCGCAGGGAAGCCGUUAAGUUUGCCGCCUGGGGAGUACGGUCGCAAGACUGAAACUUAAAGGAAUUGGCGGGGAGCACCACAAAGGGUGAAGCCUGCGGUUCAAUUGGAGUCAACGCCGGGAAACUACUUACCGGGGGUCGGACAGCAGUAUGAAGGUCAAGCUGAAGACUUUACCAGACAAGCUGAGAGGAGGUGCAUGGCCGUCGCCAGCUCGUGCCGUGAGGUGUCCUGUUAAGUUCAGGUAACGAGCGAGACCCCUGCCUCUAGUUGCUACCUUUACUCUCAGGAGUAGUGGAGCUAAUUAGAGGGACUGCCGUCGCUGAGACGGAGGAAGGAGGGGGUCUACGGCAGGUCAGUAUG
Molecule: ribosomal RNA, 438 nt
Filed under: uncultured bacterium
Lineage: Bacteria
Description: bacterial SSU rRNA
Rfam family: Archaeal small subunit ribosomal RNA
Source: RNAcentral